UACGUAGGUGACAAGCGUUGUCCGGAUUUACUGGGCGUAAAGAGCGCGCAGGCGGUCGAUCAAGUCGAGUGUGAAAGCCCCCGGCUCAACUGGGGAGGGUCAUUCGAUACUGAUCGACUCGAAGGCAGGAGAGGGUAGUGGAAUUCCCGGUGUAGUGGUGAAAUGCGUAGAUAUCGGGAGGAACACCAGUGGCGAAGGCGACUACCUGGCCUGUUCUUGACACUGAGGCGCGAAAGCUAGGGGAGCAAACGGG
RNAcentral lists this ribosomal RNA (253 nucleotides) under uncultured bacterium. Its description in RNAcentral is "partial 16S ribosomal RNA". It matches the Rfam family "Bacterial small subunit ribosomal RNA", at positions 524 to 776 of the family's 1533-position model. The record is from RNAcentral.